GGGGUUGUGGCUCAGAGGUAGAGCGCUCGCCUCACACGUGCGAGACCCUGGGUUCAAUCCUCAGCACCACA
Molecule: transfer RNA, 71 nt
Filed under: Marmota monax (woodchuck)
Lineage: Eukaryota; Metazoa; Chordata; Mammalia; Rodentia; Sciuridae
Description: tRNA.Val
Rfam family: tRNA
About the family: Transfer RNA (tRNA) molecules are approximately 80 nucleotides in length.
Source: RNAcentral